This 393-nucleotide ribosomal RNA is filed under the name uncultured bacterium. RNAcentral describes it as "partial 16S ribosomal RNA". It matches the Rfam family "Bacterial small subunit ribosomal RNA", at positions 523 to 918 of the family's 1533-position model. The record is from RNAcentral.
AUACGUAGGGGGUGAGCGUUGUCCGGAAUGAUUGGGCGUAAAGGGCGCGUAGGCGGCCCGGUAAGUCUGGAGUGAAAGUCCUGUUUUUAAGAUGGGAAUUGCUUUGGAUACUGUCGGGCUUGAGUGCAGGAGAGGUAAGUGGAAUUCCCAGUGUAGCGGUGAAAUGCGUAGAUAUCGGGAGGAACACCGGUGGCGAAGGCGGUUUACUGGACGACAACUGACGCUGAGACACGAAAGUGUGGGGAGCAAACAGGAUUAGAUACCCUGGUAGUCCACACCGUAAACGAUGAAUGCUAGGUGUGGGGGCGCAAGCCUCCGUGCCGCAGUUAACACAAUAAGCAUUCCACCUGGGGAGUACGGCCGCAAGGUUGAAACUCAAAUGAAUUGACGGGG